UACGAAGGGAGCUAGCGUUGUUCGGAAUAACUGGGCGUAAAGGGCGCGUAGGUGGGUAUGUGCGUUAGAUGUGAAAUCCCCGGGCUUAACCUGGGAACGGCAUCUAAUACGGCAUAUCUAGAGUGCGAGAGGGGAAAGCGGAAUGGCGAGUGGAGCAGUGAAAUGCAUUGAGAUUCGCUAGAACACCAGAGGCGAAGGCGGCUUUCUGGCUCGUUACUGACACUAAAGCGCGAAAGCGUGGGGAGCAAACAGG
This 253-nucleotide ribosomal RNA is filed under the name uncultured bacterium. Its description in RNAcentral is "partial 16S ribosomal RNA". It matches the Rfam family "Bacterial small subunit ribosomal RNA", at positions 524 to 776 of the family's 1533-position model. The record is from RNAcentral.